RNAcentral lists this ribosomal RNA (531 nucleotides) under Triticum aestivum (bread wheat). Its description in RNAcentral is "partial small subunit ribosomal RNA". Lineage: Eukaryota; Viridiplantae; Streptophyta; Magnoliopsida; Poales; Poaceae. The record is from RNAcentral.
AUGCGCCAUCUUCAUCGGGCACAACAUCUUCCCUGGCUCCUCAUAGGUGAUUUGUACAAGAUUCAGUUUUUGCAUGAGAAAGAGGGCGGAAAUCAUCGCCCACGGCAGUACAUGCAGGCAUUCCAAAAUGCUAUAGAUGACUGUGAACUGAGAGAUCUUGGGUUCCUCGGCGACAAAUUCACCUGGCAGCGAGGACGGAUCCGACAAAGGUUGGACAGAGGACUCGUAAAUAAUGCAUGGGUGAAUCUUUUCCCGAUGGUUGCGUUAGAAAACCUGCCCUACAAUCACUCAGAUCACAGGCCUCUGUUGGUAAAUACAGAACACUUUACUCAACCAAAUCAAGGCAAUGCAAGACCAAAGAGAUUUGAGUCAAGGGGGUUACAGGAGCAAACUUUUAGUGACAAAGUCCAAGAAGCGUGGAACGAAGCAGGUGUCGACCCCGCAGUACACAACAUACAUGCAAAGCUUGAUCGCAUGCAUGAAGCGUUUCAUGAUUGGGAUCAAAAGGUAUUGAAGAAGCCAAAAAAGUGA